GACGUAGGGUGCAAGCGUUGUCCGGAAUUAUUGGGCGUAAAGAGUUCGUAGGCGGUUACUUAAGUCUGGUGUUAAAGCCCGAUGCUCAACGUCGGCAUGGCAUUGGAAACUGGGUAGCUAGAGUGUGUCAGAGGUUACGGGAAUUCCUGGUGUAGCGGUGAAAUGCGUAGAUAUCAGGAGGAACACCAGUGGCGAAGGCGAUCAUCUGGGGUUGUUCUGACGCUGAGGAGCGAAAGCUAGGGGAGCAAACGGG
RNAcentral lists this ribosomal RNA (253 nucleotides) under uncultured bacterium. RNAcentral's name for it is "partial 16S ribosomal RNA". It matches the Rfam family "Bacterial small subunit ribosomal RNA", at positions 524 to 776 of the family's 1533-position model. The record is from RNAcentral.